Molecule: ribosomal RNA, 468 nt
Filed under: uncultured bacterium
Lineage: Bacteria
Description: partial 16S ribosomal RNA
Rfam family: Bacterial small subunit ribosomal RNA
Source: RNAcentral
GACGAACGCUGGCGGCGUGCUUAACACAUGCAAGUCGAACGGAAAGGCCCUGCUUUUGUGGGGUGCUCGAGUGGCGAACGGGUGAGUAACACGUGAGUAACCUGCCCUUGACUUUGGGAUAACUUCAGGAAACUGGGGCUAAUACCGGAUAGGAGCUCCUGCUGCAUGGUGGGGGUUGGAAAGUUUCGGCGGUUGGGGAUGGACUCGCGGCUUAUCAGCGUGUUGGUGGGGUAGUGGCUUACCAAGGCUUUGACGGGUAGCCGGCCUGAGAGGGUGACCGGCCACAUUGGGACUGAGAUACGGCCCAGACUCCUACGGGAGGCAGCAGUGGGGAAUAUUGCACAAUGGGCGGAAGCCUGAGGCAGCAACGCCGGGUGCGGGAUGACGGCCUUCGGGUUGUAAACCGCUUUCGCCUGUGACGAAGCGUGAGUGACGGUAAUGGGUAAAGAAGCACCGGCUAACUACGUG